RNAcentral lists this ribosomal RNA (437 nucleotides) under uncultured Oscillospiraceae bacterium. RNAcentral describes it as "partial 16S ribosomal RNA". It matches the Rfam family "Bacterial small subunit ribosomal RNA", at positions 341 to 792 of the family's 1533-position model. The record is from RNAcentral. Lineage: Bacteria; Bacillati; Bacillota; Clostridia; Eubacteriales; Oscillospiraceae.
ACGGAAGGCAGCAGUGGGGAAUAUUGGGCAAUGGGCGAAAGCCUGACCCAGCAACGCCGCGUGAAGGAAGAAGGUCUUCGGAUUGUAAACUUCUUUUAUGAGGGACGAAGGACGUGACGGUACCUCAUGAGUAAGCCACGGCUAACUACGUGCCAGCAGCCGCGGUAAUACGUAGGUGGCAAGCGUUAUCCGGAUUUACUGGGUGUAAAGGGCGCGUAGGCGGGAAGGCAAGUCAGAUGUGAAAUCCAUGGGCUCAACCCAUGAACUGCAUUUGAAACUGUUUUUCUUGAGUGCUGGAGAGGUAGACGGAAUUCCUUGUGUAGCGGUGAAAUGCGUAGAUAUAAGGAAGAACACCAGUGGCGAAGGCGGUCUACUGGACAGUAACUGACGCUGAGGCACGAAAGCGUGGGGAGCAAACAGGAUUAGAUACCCUGGUA